CUUCGGCCCCCCAGUAAAGCGGCGGACGGGUGAGUAACACGUGGGUAAUGUACCCUUCAGCGGGGGAUAACAGUCCGAAAGGAUUGCUAAUACCGCAUACGUCGGCGAGGUCUUCGGAUCUUGUCGGGAAAGGUGGCCUCUCCAUGGAAGCUACCACUGAAGGAUCAGCCCGCGUCCCAUCAGCUAGUUGGCGGGGUAAUGGCCCACCAAGGCGAAGACGGGUAGCUGGUCUGAGAGGAUGAUCAGCCACACUGGAACUGAGACACGGUCCAGACUCCUACGGGAGGCAGCAGUGGGGAAUAUUGGGCAAUGGGCGCAAGCCUGACCCAGCCAUGCCGCGUGAGUGAUGAAGGCCUUCGGG
Molecule: ribosomal RNA, 361 nt
Filed under: uncultured bacterium
Lineage: Bacteria
Description: bacterial SSU rRNA
Rfam family: Bacterial small subunit ribosomal RNA
Source: RNAcentral